Molecule: ribosomal RNA, 842 nt
Filed under: uncultured bacterium
Lineage: Bacteria
Description: bacterial SSU rRNA
Rfam family: Bacterial small subunit ribosomal RNA
Source: RNAcentral
AGAGUUUGAUCCUGGCUCAGAAUGAACGCUGGCGGCGUGCCUAACACAUGCAAGUCGGAUGUGCCGCAAGGUGCAUGGCAGACGGGUGAGUAACGCGUGGGGAACCUACCUCUUUGUGGGGGAUAACGUUCCGAAAGGAAUGGUAAUACCGCAUGAGACCAUGGGCUGGGAUGCUUAUGGUGAAACCCGGGGACCGCAAGGCCUGGGGCAAGGAGAGGGUCCUGCGUCUGAUUAGCUAGUUGGUGGGGUAACGGCCUACCAAGGCAUCGAUCAGUAGCCGGCCUGAGAGGGUGAUCGGCCACACUGGAACUGAGACACGGUCCAGACUCCUACGGGAGGCAGCAGUGGGGAAUUUUGCGCAAUGGGCGAAAGCCUGACGCAGCAACGCCGCGUGGGUGAUGAAGGUCUUCGGAUCGUAAAACCCUGUCGUCAGGGACGAAGGUUGCAUAUUUAAUAGAUGUGCAGCUUGACGGUACCUGGAGAGGAAGCCCCGGCUAACUCUGUGCCAGCAGCCGCGGUAAUACAGAGGGGGCAAGCGUUAUUCGGAAUUAUUGGGCGUAAAGGGCGCGUAGGCGGUGUUUUAAGUGAGAUGUGUAAUCCCCGAGCUUAACUUGGGAACUGCAUCUCAGACUGGAGCGCUAGAGUGCUGGAGAGGGUGGUAGAAUUCCACGUGUAGCGGUGAAAUGCGUAGAGAUGUGGAGGAAUACCAGUGGCGAAGGCGGCCACCUGGACAGUAACUGACGCUGAGGCGCGAAAGUGUGGGUAGCAAACAGGAUUAGAUACCCUGGUAGUCCACGCUGUAAACGAUGAACACUUGGUGUGGCGGGAGUUGACCCCUGCCG